This 492-nucleotide ribosomal RNA is filed under the name uncultured bacterium. Its description in RNAcentral is "partial 16S ribosomal RNA". It matches the Rfam family "Bacterial small subunit ribosomal RNA", at positions 29 to 507 of the family's 1533-position model. The record is from RNAcentral.
AGUGAACGCUGGCGGUAGGCCUAACACAUGCAAGUCGAACGGCAGCACAGUAAGAGCUUGCUCUUACGGGUGGCGAGUGGCGGACGGGUGAGGAAUACAUCGGAAUCUACUUUUUCGGGGGGGAUAACGUAGGGAAACUUACGCUAAUACCGCAUAUGACCUACGGGUGAAAGCAGUGGAUCUUCGGACCUUGCGCGAUUGAAUGAGCCGAUGUCGGAUUAGCUAGUUGGCGGGGUAAAGGCCCACCAAGGCGACGAUCCGUAGCUGGCCUGAGAGGAUGAUCAGCCACACUGGAGCUGAGACACGGUCCAGACUCCUACGGGAGGCAGCAGUGGGGAAUAUUGGACAAUGGGCGAAAGCCUGAUCCAGCCAUGCCGCGUGGGUGAAGAAGGCCUUCGGGUUGUAAAGCCCUUUUGUUGGGAAAGAACAGCAGCAGGUUAAUACCCCGCUGUUCUGACGGUACCCAAAGAAUAAGCACCGGCUAACUUCGUA